This 253-nucleotide unclassified non-coding RNA is filed under the name Hevea brasiliensis (rubber tree). The record is from RNAcentral. Lineage: Eukaryota; Viridiplantae; Streptophyta; Magnoliopsida; Malpighiales; Euphorbiaceae.
GUGCGGCAAUAAUAAUUGCAACAACCAAAUCUUAAACUUUCAAGAACUUGACUAGGACCAGAAUACUUCUGCCUUCCCAAUUCUGUGAUCCUGAGCUACAGAAAGAUGGAGUCUUUAGUUAGCUAUUCAAAGACCAGCUGCAGCUGGCAAUGAACUGCUUCAGUACUCCAUAAGUGUAUAUCAGGAAUGGAAGGUCAAAAGAAGUCAUGGUCCACGAACUGAAGUAAAACAGAAACAGCCAGUGGAUUGAUCU